Long non-coding RNA from Oryzias melastigma (Indian medaka), 1153 nucleotides. RefSeq lists it as uncharacterized. Lineage: Eukaryota; Metazoa; Chordata; Actinopteri; Beloniformes; Adrianichthyidae. The transcript is spliced from 3 exons. The record is from RefSeq and is a predicted model, not a curated record.
AGCUCAAAAUCCUGGGUUUUAUUUUGAUAUUAUUUCUGUCAGUGCUAAAUGCCAGUUCAGGAAUCUUUUAUCAAAACAAGACCAGAUUGAGAUGCAAUAGUUAAAACUUCUGAGCGGUUUUAUGACACAAACAGGACCGGGUGUUUUGAAGAACGCUGCUUUCCUCCGUAACUCUGCAAGGGUCUGCAGGGCACCAGAAUGGCCAGCCUCCUGUUCCCAUGGACUUUUAAAUACAGGCUGCAGCAGAAAAUGACCAGUCUGACUCGGCUUCGACCGCCCUGCAUGGCGACAAGCACCCCAGAGACCCGUGAUUGGCGGGCUGGUGACAGAUGAGUGUGAUGAUUGGGAGUGGACUAGUCCUCCAUCACAAUCUGCUGACAGCAUGUUUGGUUGCAUGAUUACGGUCCGCGGAUAUGUUACCACGGCAACAAGGUCAAAGGUAAGUCAUUUGUGAAAGAUCCAGUAGAAAAAAGAUUCACCAAAGUGUAAUCAAGUUGAAAUAGGUUGAAUCGAGGUUUAUGUCACUGACAUGUGGACACGCCUGUGUUUGUGUGUGUUUGAGUGGCAGAGGUUAAAAGGCGCGGAGCGGGCCUCUCUCUGAAAGGAAGCAGCGGUUAGAGAAGAGGAAGAGUCCGCACAUUUUCAUUGGCCACAUGCAUGGAGACUGCUCUCUAGCUACUGUUAACCUGAAGCUCCCACCGCGUUUGGGAGGAGCUUCCAUCAAAAACAUUUCUCAAACUUGCCAUGGAGGACGCGGGCACUGAGUGAUCAGAUUUAUUUAUUUUGAAGAGCUGAAUAAAAGCAUCGGUACGCGUCUCCGUCUCCAGGUUCAGAUCUCUCACAGUCGCUGUUCCUGCAACAGGGAUAUACCGUCAGGGGAAGGCAGUACGGCAAGCCAAAAAGAUCAAGAAUCACCAGGAAAAGUGGGCGUUGCAGUGCCUCAUCUGAACAUGUACUAUGGAUAACAAUAAUUAUUUGAAAUACUUAAAUGUUCCCACAGUUACUGGCAAGAGGAAAAUUAAUAAAGCAUUCUUUUCCCUCAGUUUUUGUAGAUUUGGUCUCCAGACAUGUCACUGUAAUUAGAAACUACAUGUUUUUAUAUUUUUGUUUAUGUUCAAAGUUCAAACAUGUGUGUCUAUAUUUAUGCUUUGAA